RNAcentral lists this ribosomal RNA (229 nucleotides) under uncultured bacterium. Its description in RNAcentral is "partial 16S ribosomal RNA". It matches the Rfam family "Bacterial small subunit ribosomal RNA", at positions 568 to 796 of the family's 1533-position model. The record is from RNAcentral.
UCCGUAGGUGGAUAAUUAAGUCAGGGGUGAAAGUCUGCAGCUCAACUGUAGAAUUGCCCUUGAUACUGGUUGUCUUGAGUCAUUAUGAAGUAGUUAGAAUAUGUAGUGUAGCGGUGAAAUGCACAGAUAUUACAUAGAAUACCAAUUGCGAAGGCAGAUUACUAAUAAUGUACUGACACUGAUGGACGAAAGCGUGGGGAGCGAACAGGAUUAGAUACCCUGGUAGUCC